RNAcentral lists this ribosomal RNA (490 nucleotides) under uncultured bacterium. Its description in RNAcentral is "partial 16S ribosomal RNA". It matches the Rfam family "Bacterial small subunit ribosomal RNA", at positions 30 to 507 of the family's 1533-position model. The record is from RNAcentral.
AUUGAACGCUGGCGGCAGGCCUAACACAUGCAAGUCGAACGGUAACAGGAAGCAGCUUGCUGCUUUGCUGACGAGUGGCGGACGGGUGAGUAAUGUCUGGGAAACUGCCUGAUGGAGGGGGAUAACUACUGGAAACGGUAGCUAAUACCGCAUAACGUCGCAAGACCAAAGAGGGCGACCUUCGGGCCUCUUGCCAUCGGAUGUGCCCAGAUGGGAUUAGCUAGUAGGUGGGGUAACGGCUCACCUAGGCGACGAUCCCUAGCUGGUCUGAGAGGAUGACCAGCCACACUGGAACUGAGACACGGUCCAGACUCCUACGGGAGGCAGCAGUGGGGAAUAUUGCACAAUGGGCGCAAGCCUGAUGUAGCCAUGCCGCGUGUAUGAAGAAGGCCUUCGGGUUGUAAAGUACUUUCAGCGGGGAGGAAGGGAGUAAAGUUAAUACCUUUGCUCAUUGACGUUACCCGCAGAAGAAGCACCGGCUAACUCCGUG